CCUACGGGAGGCAGCAGUGAGGAAUAUUGGUCAAUGGGCGGGAGCCUGAACCAGCCAAGCCGCGUGAGGGAAGAAGGUACAGCGUAUCGUAAACCUCUUUUGUCAGGGAACAAAGGCGGGGACUAGUCCCCGGAUGAGGGUACCUGAAGCAAAAGCAUCGGCUAACUCCGUGGCCGCAGCCGCGGUAAUACGGAGGAUGCGAGCGUUAUCCGGAUUUAGUGGGUUUAAAGGGUGCGCAGGCGGCCUGUUAAGUCAGCGGUAAAAGCCCGGGGCUCAACCCUAGCGAGCUGUUGAAACUGGCGGGCUGGAGUUGGAGAGGGGUACGCGGAAUGCGCGGUGUAGCGGUGAAAUGCUUAGAUAUCGCGCAGAACACCGAUUGCGAAGGCAGCGUGCCGGCUCCACACUGACGCUGAGGCACGAAAGCGUGGGUAUCGAACAGGAUUAGAUACCCUUGUAGUC
This 459-nucleotide ribosomal RNA is filed under the name uncultured bacterium. RNAcentral describes it as "partial 16S ribosomal RNA". It matches the Rfam family "Bacterial small subunit ribosomal RNA", at positions 338 to 795 of the family's 1533-position model. The record is from RNAcentral.